Molecule: ribosomal RNA, 711 nt
Filed under: uncultured marine alveolate
Lineage: Eukaryota
Description: SSU rRNA
Rfam family: Eukaryotic small subunit ribosomal RNA
Source: RNAcentral
GGUAAAAAAGCUCGUAGUUGGAUUUCUGUUGAGGACGACCGGUCCAUACCAUGUAUGCGCAUCUGGUUCGGCCUCGGCAUCCUCUCGAUAGACGUUUCUGCGCUUGAUUGCGUGGAGCGGAUUUCGGGACUUUUACUUUGAGGAAAUUAGAGUGUUCACGGCAGGCUUUCGCCAGAAUACAUUAGCAUGGAAUAAUACUAUAGGAUUUCGAUCUUAUUUUGUUGGUUUCUAGGGUCGAAAUAAUGAUUAAUAGGGACAAUUGGGGGCAUUCGUAUCAACGCGUCAGAGGUGGAAUUCUUGGAUUGCGUUGCGACGAACUACUGCGAAAGCAUUUGCCAAGGAUGUUUUCAUUGAUCAAGAACGAAAGUAAGGGGAUCGAAGACGAUUAGAUACCGUCGUAGUCUUUACCAUAAACUAUGCCAACUAGAGAUGGGACAUCGUUCAUUUACGACUUGUUCCGCACCUUAUGAGAUAUCAAAGUCUAUGGGUUCCGGGGGGAGUAUGGUCGCAAGACUGAAACUUAAAGGAAUUGACGGAAGGGCACCACCAGGAGUGGAGCCUGCGGCUUAAUUUGACUCAACACGGGGAAACUCACCAGGUCCAGACAUAAUAAGGAUUGACAGAUUGAUAGCUCUUUCUUGAUUUUAUGGGUGGUGGUGCAUGGCCGUUCUUAGUUCGUGGAGUGAUUUGUCUGCUUAAUUGCGUUAACGA